Molecule: ribosomal RNA, 465 nt
Filed under: uncultured bacterium
Lineage: Bacteria
Description: partial 16S ribosomal RNA
Rfam family: Bacterial small subunit ribosomal RNA
Source: RNAcentral
CCUACGGGUGGCAGCAGUAGGGAAUCUUCCACAAUGGGCGAAAGCCUGAUGCAGCAACGCCGCGUGGGUGAAGAAGGUCUUCGGAUCGUAAAACCCUGUUGUUAGAGAAGAACGUGCGUGAGAGUAACUGUUCACGUUUCGACGGUAUCUAACCAGAAAGCCACGGCUAACUACGUGCCAGCAGCCGCGGUAAUACGUAGGUGGCAAGCGUUAACCGGAUUUAUUGGGCGUAAAGGGAACGCAGGCGGUCUUUUAAGUCUGAUGUGAAAGCCUUGGGCUUAACCGGAGUAGUGCAUUGGAAACUGGGAGACUUGAGUGCAGGAGAGGAGAGUGGAACUCCAUGGGUAGCGGUGAAAUGCGUAGAUAUAUGGAAGAACACCAGUGGCGAAGGCGACUCUCUGGUCUGUAACUGACGCUGAGGUUCGAAAGCGUGGGUAGCAAACAGGAUUAGAUACCCCGGUAGUC